Molecule: ribosomal RNA, 910 nt
Filed under: Niphargus sp. ND170
Lineage: Eukaryota; Metazoa; Arthropoda; Malacostraca; Amphipoda; Niphargidae
Description: partial large subunit ribosomal RNA
Rfam family: Eukaryotic large subunit ribosomal RNA
Source: RNAcentral
UGUGAAAGCAGUGACAUCCCGACAAAGGGGCAUUACGUGUGCCAGCACUUGCACCCCCACAGCGAUGCUCUCAAGUAUCCGACUCUCUGUCUCUCUCUCGCGCACACACACACGCGCAAAGUCUCUGGUUACGGAACGGAAAUACUAGCACACACACACACGCACGGUGAUCACAUAAAAAUACGUGUGAGUGUGUGUGUGUGUGUGCGCGCGCACGCUUGUCUGUCUGGUUACGCUCAUAUGCGUUGAUAUGCUGUCUGGGAAAGGUUAAGAGAGACAGAGAGUGAGAGAAAGAGGUUGAGUGGGUGAGCGCGAGUUUACAUCGCUGAUUGCAUGAGCCCCCUGCGUCUGGUUCUAUGUCUGGCGAAAGGGAAUGGGGACUUUGUUCCUUGACCGGUCCCGGCACCCUCGAUUGGCUUUGCCAAUUAAUGGUCCAUGCAAAUGGAACCAGGCCACAGCCGCCGGCAGUCGCCCGAGGAAGAGUUUUCUUUUCUGCUUAACGCGCGAGGUCAUCCCUGGAAACAGUUCGGCUGGCGAAAGGGUGCCCCGUUGCGGCAGAGCGCCACGACUGUCGUGCGCGUCUCGGUGUUCCUGCCGGUCCGUGAAGACGUGGUCGAGGGGAUUGCUCUUGUAUCAACGAAACGCCCGACAAGUUCGGGACGGACCGUACCCUAUAUCCGCAUCUGGUCUCCAAGGUUCGUAGCCUCUGCAGAGUCAGACACAUGUAGGUAAGGGAAGUCGGCAAACUCGAUCCGUAACUUCGGGAAAAGGAUUGGCUCUGAGGGCCGAGCUGGGCCGGGCCUUGCCUGCAAAGCAGUACCUAUAGUGACCGGAGUUUCANGAGUGCGAGGGGCUCUAGUAGCUGCUUGUGUGCGUGUGUGCGUUCGCGCGUGCGCGCGCGUGUGGGCAC